Molecule: long non-coding RNA, 300 nt
Organism: Oncorhynchus tshawytscha (Chinook salmon)
Lineage: Eukaryota; Metazoa; Chordata; Actinopteri; Salmoniformes; Salmonidae
Source: Ensembl
GGCUGGGAGAGAACAGACACAGUGAGGGGAAGUGAUAGAGAGAGAGAGGGGAUGAAAAGAGGCGACAGAGAGAGAGAAGACUUUGAUGAAGAGGGGAAGGGAAAGGUGUGAGGGCGGAGUGGCUGAAGAGGGGUAGGGAAAGGUGUGAGGGCGGAGUGGCUGAAGAGGGGUAGGGAAAGGUGUGAGGGCGGAGUGGCUGAAGAGGGGUAGGGAAAGGUGUGAGGGAGGAGUGGUUGAAGAGGGGUAGGGAAAGGUGUGAGGGCGGAGUGGCUGAAGAGGGGUAGGGAAAGGUGUGAGGGC